UGCGUAGGUGGUUUCUUAAGUCAGAGGUGAAAGGCUACGGCUCAACCGUAGUAAGCCUUUGAAACUGGGAAACUUGAGUGCAGGAGAGGAGAGUGGAAUUCCUAGUGUAGCGGUGAAAUGCGUAGAUAUUAGGAGGAACACCAGUUGCGAAGGCGGCUCUCUGGACUGUAACUGACGUUGAGGCUCGAAAGCGUGGGGAGGCAAAACA
This 208-nucleotide ribosomal RNA is filed under the name uncultured bacterium. RNAcentral describes it as "partial 16S ribosomal RNA". It matches the Rfam family "Bacterial small subunit ribosomal RNA", at positions 568 to 776 of the family's 1533-position model. The record is from RNAcentral.